RNAcentral lists this ribosomal RNA (445 nucleotides) under uncultured bacterium. Its description in RNAcentral is "bacterial SSU rRNA". It matches the Rfam family "Bacterial small subunit ribosomal RNA", at positions 354 to 796 of the family's 1533-position model. The record is from RNAcentral.
GUGAGGAAUAUUGCGCAAUGGAGGCAACUCUGACCCAGCCAUGCCGCGUGCAGGAAGACGGUCCUCUGGAUUGUAAACUGCUUUUGAAUGGGAAGAAACGUAGCUUUGCGAAGCUAUUUGACGGUACUAUUAGAAUAAGCACCGGCUAACUCCGUGCCAGCAGCCGCGGUAAUACGGAGGGUGCAAGCGUUAUCCGGAUUUAUUGGGUUUAAAGGGUGCGUAGGCGGCUUUAUAAGUCUGGGGUUAAAGGCGGCAGCUUAACUGUACGCAUGCCCUGGAAACUGUGAAGCUUGAGUGACUUGGAGGUAGCUAGAAUUCCCUGUGUAGCGGUGAAAUGCAUAGAUACGGGGAGGAAUACCGAUUGCGAAGGCAUGUUACUACGAGUAAACUGACGCUGAUGCACGAAAGCGUGGGGAUCAAACAGGAUUAGAUACCCUAGUAGUCC